This 202-nucleotide ribosomal RNA is filed under the name uncultured bacterium. RNAcentral describes it as "partial 16S ribosomal RNA". It matches the Rfam family "Bacterial small subunit ribosomal RNA", at positions 524 to 725 of the family's 1533-position model. The record is from RNAcentral.
UACGUAGGGGGCAAGCGUUGUCCGGAUUUAUUGGGCGUAAAGAGCGUGUAGGCGGCCACACAGGUCUGCUGUGAAACUCGAGGCUCAACCUCGAGCUGUCGGUGGAAACCGUGUGGCUAGAGUCCGGAAGAGGAGAGUGGAAUUCCCGGUGUAGCGGUGAAAUGCGCAGAUAAUCGGAAGAACGACCGUGCCGAGGCGUAGC